RNAcentral lists this ribosomal RNA (410 nucleotides) under uncultured bacterium. Its description in RNAcentral is "bacterial SSU rRNA". It matches the Rfam family "Bacterial small subunit ribosomal RNA", at positions 402 to 809 of the family's 1533-position model. The record is from RNAcentral.
UGAAGGAUGAAGGCCUUCUGGGUUGUAAACUUCUUUUAUCUGGGAAGAAACCUCCGAUUUCUAUUGGAGCCGACGGUACCAGAUGAAUAAGCACCGGCUAACUCCGUGCCAGCAGCCGCGGUAAUACGGAGGGUGCAAGCGUUAUCCGGAUUCACUGGGUUUAAAGGGUGUGUAGGCGGGCUAUUAAGUCAGUGGUGAAAUCUCUGAGCUCAACUCAGAAACUGCCGUUGAUACUAUUAGUCUUGAAUAUCGAUGAGGUAGGCGGAAUAUGUCAUGUAGCGGUGAAAUGCUUAGAUAUGACAUAGAACACCGAUUGCGAAGGCAGCUUACUAAACGAUCAUUGACGCUGAGGCACGAAAGCGUGGGGAUCAAACAGGAUUAGAUACCCUGGUAGUCCACGCCCUAAACGA